Non-coding RNA from Malus domestica (apple), 1524 nucleotides. The record is from RefSeq and is a predicted model, not a curated record. Lineage: Eukaryota; Viridiplantae; Streptophyta; Magnoliopsida; Rosales; Rosaceae.
GCGUUGUAUGGCUUAAGUUGUGAAUGUGGACAAAUAGGUUAAGUCCCUAAUAUUUUGGAACCAAUUAGGGACUUAGACUUGAAUUAUUUUUGUUGUUGUUUUGCCUUGGUUGGCUGGAUCACACGGACCACACAUUCACCCACCCGUUGACCUUCUCUCUCUCCUCUCCCUUUCGAUUUUCUGCAACGUCCGUACAAACGUACGGACGAACCUCAAACCAACCCAUUUAUGCACAGAUCGAGCUUGUGAUUAGUACCAUCUCCUUCCUCUCGUCAUCACGAACUCAACCAUACCAAUUGUUGGACGUGAAACCUUUGAAAACCCGAGAACCCAGGCACCUCGAAGAAGGCACUGUUUAUACUCUUGUGAUCGUGGGGGUUUCAGUUGAUUCUGAGCUUAUGGGAAGCUUUAGAUCACCCUCAUGAUGCUCGAAGUACCAUUUUCACAAAGUUUGGACGUCGGGAUUGUGUAGAACCAGAGAACCCAAUAUUUGGUACUGUUCAUGUGCUCGUGGAAUUGAAGGUUUCAAGGUAUUUGGAGCUCAUAAGGAGCUUAAGGACCUCUCCACGAAGCUCAGAGAGGAAGAAUGAGGUGAUUUAGACGUCUGGAAACCGAGAUCGAAGCAUCACAGUUUGGCCGGAAUUAUCGAAGGAUCUCUGGCAAAUUCUCGAAGGUGUUAGGUCCAAAUCUUGAAACCAGCGAGUUGCAGCGGCACCGGCGACGAUCUCCGGCGAACCAAGGAAGAAGGAGGAGUAUAUUCUGUCAAGUCUGACGGAAAAUGCUAACGGCGUCAGUUAUAUUAAACGGCGAGGCUUAUGCGGACGAUGAGCAAAGUUAAGGGAGGCUCGGGGGCUACGACCCUUCGACAUAUCUGUUCGAGAUAGAGCAGAGCUUUGGUGGCCACGAGGAAUCCAACGGUGUUCUGACAGAAUUUCACAAACGUAGGUUUCACCUUCGAGUAUUAUACCUUAGUAUUUAUGUCUUUUGAGCUUCCGAACCGUGUAAAUGGUUACGUCACUCUCACGUGACGACCAGCAUUCCUUCCUUCGGGACGGGGUGUGUCGGUAUCAGAGCCCUAGGUUGCAAUCCUGGGCAUCUUGAGAAUUCCCUAGUGUCUUCUGUCAGAACUAUACCGCCUCGUAGGGAGCCACGCCGUUCAAAUGAGCUUAGUUUCCCUAAUUUAACAGUUUAGGGGUAACUAUUGCUAUUGUGAUUCAGUCUAUUAUCUAAGAAACCCUUUGAGACUGGUUAUAAGUUGAAUUUGAAUCACUUUAUGGAAAUUAUGAACCUGGGGGAGCAGAGUGUUGGCUUACUCACUUGGAAAAGACGUUUUGGAUUAUGCAAGUCAAAGGAAUCUUUCUUCUGACAGGUGGGUCGAGACGACUACCUGGUUGUGGUUUAUGAAUUUGUAUCCUGGUGGAAACAGGAGUAUUAUUCGUUGUCAUCGGAGGAAACAGCUGAUUGAGAAUUGUUUAAGGAAUUGUUAAAGAAAAUAUUUAUUCCUCCGUCAUAUUAUGAUGGUAG